UGGGGAAUAUUGCACAAUGGGCGCAAGCCUGAUGCAGCCAUGCCGCGUGUGUGAAGAAGGCCUUCGGGUUGUAAAGCACUUUCAGCGGGGAGGAAGGCGAUAAGGUUAAUAACCUUGUCGAUUGACGUUACCCGCAGAAGAAGCACCGGCUAACUCCGUGCCAGCAGCCGCGGUAAUACGGAGGGUGCAAGCGUUAAUCGGAAUUACUGGGCGUAAAGCGCACGCAGGCGGUCUGUCAAGUCGGAUGUGAAAUCCCCGGGCUCAAGCUGGGAACUGCAUUCGAAACUGGCAGGCUAGAGUAUUGUAGAGGGGGGUAGAAUUCCAGGUGUAGCGGUGAAAUGCGUAGAGAUCUGGAGGAAUACCGGUGGCGAAGGCGGCCCCCUGGACAAAGACUGACGCUCAGGUGCGAAAGCGUGUGGAGCAAACAGG
Molecule: ribosomal RNA, 429 nt
Filed under: Chloroflexota bacterium
Lineage: Bacteria; Bacillati; Chloroflexota
Description: Chloroflexi bacterium partial 16S ribosomal RNA
Rfam family: Bacterial small subunit ribosomal RNA
Source: RNAcentral